This 253-nucleotide ribosomal RNA is filed under the name uncultured bacterium. RNAcentral describes it as "partial 16S ribosomal RNA". It matches the Rfam family "Bacterial small subunit ribosomal RNA", at positions 524 to 776 of the family's 1533-position model. The record is from RNAcentral.
UACAGAGGGGGCAAGCGUUGUUCGGAAUUACUGGGCGUAAAGGGCGCGUAGGCGGCCUGCUAAGUCGAACGUGAAAUCCCCGGGCUCAACCCGGGAACUGCGUCCGAUACUGGUUGGCUUGAAUCCGGGAGAGGGAUGCGGAAUUCCAGGUGUAGCGGUGAGAUGCGUAGAUAUCUGGAGGAACACCGGUGGCGAAGGCGGCAUCCUGGACCGGCAUUGACGCUGAGGCGCGAAAGCGUGGGGAGCAAACAGG